RNAcentral lists this transfer RNA (72 nucleotides) under Trichophyton rubrum CBS 118892. Its description in RNAcentral is "tRNA-Thr (CGT) (tRNA-Thr-CGT-1-1)". It matches the Rfam family "tRNA". From Rfam's summary of the family: Transfer RNA (tRNA) molecules are approximately 80 nucleotides in length. RNAcentral also lists the same sequence under 9 other names. Lineage: Eukaryota; Fungi; Ascomycota; Eurotiomycetes; Onygenales; Arthrodermataceae. The record is from RNAcentral.
GCCCGUAUAGCUCAGUGGUAGAGCGCAUCACUCGUAAUGAUGAGGUCCUCGGUUCGAAUCCGAGUGUGGGCA